CAGCCGCCGCGGUAAUACGAGGGGGGCAAGCGUUGUUCGGAAUUAUUGGGCGUAAAGGGCGCGUAGGCGGUUUGGCAAGUUUGGUGUGAAAUCUUCGGGCUCAACUCGAAGUCUGCACCGAAAACUGCCGGGCUUGAGUAUGGGAGAGGUGAGUGGAAUUUCCGGUGUAGCGGUGAAAUGCGUAGAUAUCGGAAGGAACACCUGUGGCGAAAGCGGCUCACUGGACCAUUACUGACGCUGAGGCGCGAAAGCUAGGGGAGCAAACAGGAUUAGAGACCCGCGUAGUCCCUGUCUCUUAUAC
RNAcentral lists this ribosomal RNA (301 nucleotides) under uncultured bacterium. Its description in RNAcentral is "partial 16S ribosomal RNA". It matches the Rfam family "Bacterial small subunit ribosomal RNA", at positions 509 to 807 of the family's 1533-position model. The record is from RNAcentral.